Molecule: long non-coding RNA, 532 nt
Organism: Prosopis cineraria
Lineage: Eukaryota; Viridiplantae; Streptophyta; Magnoliopsida; Fabales; Fabaceae
Exons: 3
Source: RefSeq, a predicted model, not a curated record
UUUAGAGGAAAUUACAACUUUUGGCCCAAAGGUUUGAAUAAUUAAAUUCAAACCUAUAGUUUUUUUUAAAUAUAAUUUUGGGACUACAAUCCCAUUUUUAUAUUAUUUUUCUCUCUUCCUCUCACGUUGCUCUGCGUUUUCUCGCAAGGGGGGAUUAUUUUCUUUGUCUUCAGAUUGUGUUGACAAAGAUAGUGGUGAAAGACGAGUUGUGAAGGGGAAUUUGUUAUUCAAGACACAAGGAGCAAGUCCGGCCGAGAAAGCACCAGAGGUGUAACUGUGAUGUAUGAGACACCAUCUUUUACGUUGCCUCUUAUUUUAGAUUAUACAAUGUAUCUUGUGCCAACUUAGGACAUAUCUUCUUUGUGAAGCAUGUAAACUCUAAUCCUUUUUAUUAAAAGUAUUUAUAUGACCAAGAGGAUUAUGUCUGUCCCUCUUGAUUUAUGAUCUGAUUUGAAUAACAUGCUAUGAGGAUCAUGUCUGUCCCUCAUGGUUCUAAUUGUUUUUUUUUAGAUAUUUUAAGACCUGUGGUAUA